AGUUGAAAAAGCCACAGCCGCCGUGAGGCGGUGUCGGAAAGCCACGGAUCUCCCAGAAAGAGACCGCCGGGUUACCAAC
This 79-nucleotide non-coding RNA is filed under the name Candidatus Electrothrix marina. RNAcentral describes it as "GEMM cis-regulatory element". It matches the Rfam family "c-di-GMP-I riboswitch aptamer". From Rfam's summary of the family: GEMM was predicted in a large-scale screen for bacterial structured RNA regulatory elements. Genes associated with GEMM are involved in a diverse array of functions, including chemotaxis regulation, signal transduction, secretion and chitin. Lineage: Bacteria; Pseudomonadati; Thermodesulfobacteriota; Desulfobulbia; Desulfobulbales; Desulfobulbaceae. The record is from RNAcentral.